CUGCUAAGAAUAGUGCGACCAGCGGGGGGACAAAUUGCAAGUGGCGCUGGCAACUCAGGGCGCAAGUACAGAUUUCAAUUUGAAUGAAAAUCCAGCGAUAAAUUGGAAAUGGCAACAACUCGAAAGAAUUGAGCCGAAUCCCAACUUGAAUGUUUUUGCACCCCUGCUAGAAUAAACGGAAAGUCAGACCGGUGGUGGUUCCGGACUUGACAUUGCAGAUGAUUUUUCGCAUCUAGGUGGCACUACAAUCCCAUGAUGUUGGGGGUCAGCCGUCACCUUUCACGCUACCAAGCCACGAAGAGAGUCACAAUUGGAGAGCGUCUCGGCUGUCCAAGAUUGUUUUUGUGCAAGGUUGCAAACCUGCAAUCACACGAUUGGAGUCAAACCAUUCGAAUUGGAAAGGUCCCCAGCGAGCCCCAGCGGAAAUCUUCGUAUGCCAUUGCAACUGUGUCUAGAAUGUGUGCCAGCACAAAGUAAUUAAGUUCAGGGCUACAAAUGAGGGAUGCUUCCAUGUGUGCGUCAGCCAGCCGAGAGGGCCCGAGAAAGGGUUUCCUCACCUCAUCACAGCAGGGAUCCUCCUCCUCCUUCACCAGUUAACCAGAACACAUAAUUCUCUUACUUAUAUUGUUUUUUUUGCAAACGUAUGAGAAUGCUUAGAGCAAGAGUAAAUAAUUCACUUUUGGUCGAAUUAUUGCAGCUGCCAUUAUAGUCAAAUUAAAAUAUAAUAAAUGUCUUGGAUUUAUGAA
Long non-coding RNA from Syngnathus acus (greater pipefish), 746 nucleotides. RefSeq lists it as uncharacterized. The transcript is spliced from 2 exons. The record is from RefSeq and is a predicted model, not a curated record. Lineage: Eukaryota; Metazoa; Chordata; Actinopteri; Syngnathiformes; Syngnathidae.